UACGGGGGGAGCAAGCGUUGUUCGGAUUUACUGGGCGUAAAGGGCGCGUAGGCGGCCUGUGCAAGUCAGUUGUGAAAUCUCCGAGCUUAACUCGGAAAGGUCAACUGAUACUGCUCGGCUAGAGUGCGGAAGGGGCAACUGGAAUUCUUGGUGUAGCGGUGAAAUGCGUAGAUAUCUGGAGGAACACCGGUGGCGAAGGCGGCAUCCUGGACCAACACUGACACUGAGGAGCGAAAGCCAGGGGAGCAAACGGG
Molecule: ribosomal RNA, 254 nt
Filed under: uncultured bacterium
Lineage: Bacteria
Description: partial 16S ribosomal RNA
Rfam family: Bacterial small subunit ribosomal RNA
Source: RNAcentral